GAUAGAUAACUCACUGUUCCUUUUUGACUUCUUUUUUCUCCAAUAAUCCUUGGAGGCGAGCUCGUUUACGGAAAUAAGUCAAAAACGAACAGGAAGCCUCCCUAGGGAGGCUUUUUUUAU
Vibrio cincinnatiensis DSM 19608 is the source of this 120-nucleotide non-coding RNA. The record is from Rfam. NCBI's taxonomy places the organism in Bacteria, Pseudomonadati, Pseudomonadota, Gammaproteobacteria, Vibrionales, Vibrionaceae.